Molecule: transfer RNA, 68 nt
Filed under: Rediviva intermixta
Lineage: Eukaryota; Metazoa; Arthropoda; Insecta; Hymenoptera; Melittidae
Description: tRNA-Pro
Rfam family: tRNA
About the family: Transfer RNA (tRNA) molecules are approximately 80 nucleotides in length. Their secondary structure includes four short double-helical elements and three loops (D, anti-codon, and T loops).
Source: RNAcentral
CAAAAAAUAGUUUAAGUAAAACAUUAAUUUUGGAGAUUAAAAAUAUUUGAUUGAACUAAUUUUUUUGA